RNAcentral lists this ribosomal RNA (641 nucleotides) under Mycobacterium sp. I12A-02665. RNAcentral's name for it is "bacterial SSU rRNA". It matches the Rfam family "Bacterial small subunit ribosomal RNA", at positions 92 to 746 of the family's 1533-position model. The record is from RNAcentral. Lineage: Bacteria; Bacillati; Actinomycetota; Actinomycetes; Mycobacteriales; Mycobacteriaceae.
CGAGUGGCGAACGGGUGAGUAACACGUGGGUGAUCUGCCCUGCACUUUGGGAUAAGCCUGGGAAACUGGGUCUAAUACCGAAUACACCUCUUGGGUUGCAUGACUCUUGGGGGAAAGCUUUUGCGGUGUGGGAUGGGCCCGCGGCCUAUCAGCUUGUUGGUGGGGUGAUGGCCUACCAAGGCGACGACGGGUAGCCGGCCUGAGAGGGUGUCCGGCCACACUGGGACUGAGAUACGGCCCAGACUCCUACGGGAGGCAGCAGUGGGGAAUAUUGCACAAUGGGCGCAAGCCUGAUGCAGCGACGCCGCGUGGGGGAUGACGGCCUUCGGGUUGUAAACCUCUUUCAGCACAGACGAAGCGCAAGUGACGGUAUGUGCAGAAGAAGCACCGGCCAACUACGUGCCAGCAGCCGCGGUAAUACGUAGGGUGCGAGCGUUGUCCGGAAUUACUGGGCGUAAAGAGCUCGUAGGUGGUUUGUCGCGUUGUUCGUGAAAACCGGGGGCUUAACCCUCGGCGUGCGGGCGAUACGGGCAGACUGGAGUACUGCAGGGGAGACUGGAAUUCCUGGUGUAGCGGUGGAAUGCGCAGAUAUCAGGAGGAACACCGGUGGCGAAGGCGGGUCUCUGGGCAGUAACUGACGC